ACUUUUUUUUUUUUUUUUUUUUUUUUUUUUUUGCUUUUUGCUUUUUAGCGCCGCACCCAUGGCAUAUAGAGGUUCCCAGGCUAGGGGUCCAAUCGGAGCUGUAGCUGCCGCCUACACCACAGCUCACGGCAAUGCCGGAUCCUUAACCCACUGACUGAGGUCAGGGGUCAAACCCGCAUCCUCAUGGAUCCUAGUUGGAUUUGUUCGCGCCACGAUGGGAACUCCAGAUUGUCUUUGAUUUAAAUGCAUUUAAAUUGCUUUAAAGCCAUACUAAAGGAAGACGAGAAUUCUCACUCUUAAUCUUAUAGACCGAUGAGAAGGGAGUAAGUGCUAUGAGAGGUUUUCCUUCUCCUGUAGCUGUUUUAUUUAUACUCAUUCUUACCAGGUACCCUAGUGAUCCUUUCCACAGGUUGGGUCCAGGAGUUCCCAUCGUGGCGCAGUGGUUAAUGAAUCUGACUAGGAACCAUGAAGUUGCGGGUUCGAUCCCUGGCCUUGCUCAAUGGGUUAAGGAUCCGGCGUUGCCGUGAGCUGUAGUGUAGCUCGCAGAUGCGGCUCAGAUCCCGUGUUGCUGUGGCUCUGGUGUAGGCCAGCAGCUUGUGGCUCUGGUGUAGGCCAGCAGCUACAGCUCCGAUUCGACCCCUAGCCUGGGAGCCUCCAUAUGCCGUGGGAGCAGCCCUAGAAAAGGCAAAAAGACAAAAAAAAAUUAGAAAAAAAAAAUAGGUCAGGUCCAUUUCUAACAUGGUGAUGCUCACCUCCGAGGCUUGCUGGUCCAGGCCUUGCAAAGGGACAGCUUUGGAGUAUGUAAGGGAGAGUAGGUUAGAAAGAAAAGGUAACAGGCACUCCCAUAAUCCCAUAGUACGGCCAAAGAUGCUCAUUCCACCAAAACCUGUAAGACAAGAGUUUUCCUGAAGAACGUCCCUCCAGAACAUCAGCAAGUUUCCACGGAUUAAUAUACAUUAACACGUGUUCAGAUAAAUUCCUGGGUACCAGAUGCUGCCAAGUCAGAACGUGAGACAGCGUGGAGGUGACGGAGAAGGCUGGAGUGAGGUUUAUACCAAAGACGGGAGAGACAGGGCAGCAGAGCCCAGUCUUGUCCUAUGGCAGUGAAGUCAUUUAUUCACAAUUGAAAGAUGAAGAUGCAUCAACACGAGCUCUGAGGAAGAAGAAGAAAAGGAGACACGGAGACUCCCAAAUAAACAUCUGCGAAGCACUACGUGAACGCCCCCAAACCUAGAAAGAAAGAAAAAAAAAUCAAGCCUUUAAAAAAGAAGAGAGGCAGAUCGGAAAAGAAAAAAAAAAAAAAAAGCAUCAAAAAACAACAGCCUCCAUUUCUUAACAUGGAUACUCAGGUGCCCUGACUGCUCUCAGCCUUUUCAGGUCAAUGUCAUGGUCGUUUCUUCUUUCUCUUUGAUUCAGAGAUUAGCUGAGCAUAUUAAUACAUAUGUUUCCCACUUCCUGCCCACACACUGUUAUCUCAGUUUCUUCAAGGUCUCACAAUGAGACAAGGGCAACUUCUUUAAAAACCAAUGCCCUCUUCCUAGCCAGCGGUCCGAGAGUCACUUCCUGUUGUCAUGUAUGGACAGCACCAGUGUCUGCCUGCAGUCCACAGGGGUGGAUCACGCUUUGUCCGAGGAUUUGGAUUUGAACAAGGCAGAAGAGGGCCCGGCUUUCAUGGAGCUUGAGCUCCAGUUGAGAGAGACAGAUGCUCAAGAAGGAAAUAAACAUUCAGUGACUGUAGAGGGUGAGACAUGUCCCCUAACAGAUAACACAGCGUAACGGGCUAGACUAGAGUCAUAUCCGAUAGCACUGUUCGAACCAGAACGGCGAGAAGGAACGCACUGUGAGCGGAUUUGGGGAAAGAACUGAAAAUACAAAAUCUUUGGGGCAAAAACAAGCUUGGCAUGUUCAAAAAAAAGAAAAAGGCGAAAAUGGCUGAGGUACAAAUAAAAACAAGUAAAUAUGAGAUGAACGAGAAAAUAUAGGUGGAGGCCAGAUCUUGUAGAGCUUUCUAGGUCAGAGCAAGGAAUUUCAUCUACUAGAAAUUCCAUUUUGGGCGGGGGGGGCUGCGCCCACAGCAUGCAGGAAUUCCUGGGCCAGGGACUGAACCCAAGCCAUGGCAGUGACCCAAGCAACACCAGUGGCAAGGCUGAAUCCUCAACCUGCUGAGCCACCAGGGAACUCCAAGAAAUUCCAUUUUUAAUAGAUUUCUUAUUCUACCCCAGAAAAAUAGCUCUAGGCUCAUACUUGGCGUGGCAUAUAUUAGAAAUCUGUUUGGAGGCAAACUGUUUUGAAAGUACCUUUGGUUUUAAUUAGUUUAGCAUUUUAAUUUUGAGAAAGGAUGAGAAACCUUAAUAAGAACGUUUUCCAUUUGGGUGUUUAAAUCUGUACCAUCAUGUUACAUUAAAAUCGUUCCUGGUGUGUUAAUUAAUAAUUAUCUCAGGAAUAUUGCAAAUGUGAAAGGCCACUGUGAUUCAUCAGCUUCAUUUGAGCUCACACUCCUUUUAAAAAUUCUAUUAAUUCUGAUUACCAACAACAAAACCAUUUCAUUUCUUAAAAGGGACACUGUUAUUACACAAAGGGCCUUUCAUCGAAGUGAAUGCAUUCGCUGUAACAAGCCUUAAAAUUUGUUUUUAUUUUUCAAAGUGCAUUUUGUCAAACGUUUUGCCUGUAUUGAACUCAGCACUUGUUCAGAUGACCAACAGGUCUGACCGUCCCCUCCCCACGUUUCCACUUGCGAAUGCAAAGAACUGAGCUCUGGGAAGGGCAGGAGUGAGCAGAGUUCAGGCUGGGGUGGCUACGUGAGCUUGCAGUUGGGACCAAAGCCGCCGCGUGGAAAUGCACUUUCGUGCACAGAAAUGGUCUUUACUAUUCUCACUUAGUGCUGGAUGAACAUCCCUUGAAAUGUUAACAAGCUGCAAUGUUGAUGGCAAUUUAGGACACGUGAAGAAGUUUGGGGUGGGGAUGGAGGUCCCGUUGUGGCUCAGCGGGUUACGAAUCCAACUAGUAUCCAUGAGGAUGCAGGUUCCAUCCCUGGCCUCACUCAGCAGGUUAAGGAUCCAGCGUUCACGCUGGUGCUGAACUGACUAGAAGACACCGUUUUCUGCACUGAAAGGAGCCAGAACUUCAUGGACGUGAAAUCCUACGAGGAAAGCCAAUUAAGUCAUCAAGCCUUUGGCCCAAUUCACGAAGUUCACGGCCACUCCGUUGUCUCCGUUUCGUGUCUCUUCUCCUGGCUGAAAUCAGAGAAGCAGGAGCUCUACUGGUGGUGGGGGACUCAUCCCGUCUUCCGGUGUUUUGUGUCAUGUCGAUCCGUUAUCUCAUUGGUCCUGACUUCGACCACGUGACCCUGGGGACAGGCCCUUGCCUCGGGCACACCGGAUCCUCACCCAGGACCCUCUAAUCCCUCCCCUGUGCGCCCUGCCACCUGCUGGGCCAAGGUGGUUGGGAUUUCAGGCAGAUGAUGUCACCAACUCCUUGGCCCAUUUGAGAAAGGCCUGGAGAGUCUAUGCUCGUGAUUCCUAGGUCCCAAAGGACGAGCCAAGCCCAGGAGGACCUCAGUGCUGGAGAUGACAAAUGGAAGGACACACGCGCAUUGCCAGGUUUCUCACAGACAGAGAGGUCCCGUCGGCCCCCUCCCCGGUCUGGCCUGGCCUGUGACUGCUUUGACAAAUAGGGGACAGUGGAAGUGAUUCCAGGCUAGGGCUGUUAGGAAAAGGGCAGAACUCCCAGUUCAGCUCAAAUUUUGGAUAAACAACAGUUAUUUGGGGAUAAAUAUGCCCCAGGCAAUAUUUGAGACCUACCAUCUCAACAAUUACUAUUGUUCCUGUGAAAUUCCGAAUGUACUGGGCAUCUUACCUUUCUAUUUGCUAAAUCUAGCAACCCCACCCCAUUUCAAGACUAGCCUUUGAACAAACCAGAAUCCCCUGUCUUGUCCCCUUGUUGCCCUGAGCAGUCAUGGAACAAGCCUGAACUAGUCGGCUAGGGAACCGAUUGGAGGACAUGGAGGGGGCGCCUCUUGAGACCAGCCAUGCACCCCUCCCUGCCAAGGCGCCAAAC
RNAcentral lists this long non-coding RNA (4056 nucleotides) under Sus scrofa (pig). Its description in RNAcentral is "lncRNA (ENSSSCG00050005594.1)". The record is from RNAcentral. Lineage: Eukaryota; Metazoa; Chordata; Mammalia; Artiodactyla; Suidae.